GUGAUGGCGAGCACGACUGCGACGACCAGUCGGAUGAGAAAAACUGCACCACGUCCAUGUGCACGGCUGACCAGUUCCGGUGUGGAACUGGACGUUGUGUCCGGUUGUCAUGGAGAUGUGAUGGUGAAGAUGACUGCUCGGAUCGCAGUGAUGAAGAGGGCUGUGAGAAAACUGAGAGUCCUCCAUGUGCUCCUGACCAGUUUCAGUGUGGGAAUGGACGCUGUAUUGGUCAGAGGAAGGUGUGUAACGAGGUUAAUGA
This is a long non-coding RNA of Nematolebias whitei (Rio pearlfish), 259 nucleotides long. RefSeq lists it as uncharacterized. NCBI's taxonomy places the organism in Eukaryota, Metazoa, Chordata, Actinopteri, Cyprinodontiformes, Rivulidae. The transcript has 3 exons. The record is from RefSeq and is a predicted model, not a curated record.